This 117-nucleotide ribosomal RNA is filed under the name Periophthalmus magnuspinnatus. The record is from RNAcentral. Lineage: Eukaryota; Metazoa; Chordata; Actinopteri; Gobiiformes; Gobiidae.
AGUGUUUGCCAUACCGGCUUGUCUAAGGCUGAUCUCGGUAGAUCUCAGAAGCUAAUCAAGGCAGAGCUUGGUUAGUACUUGGAUGGGAGAUCUCUGGGAAUGCCAGGUGCUGCAGUG